UACGGAGGGUGCAAGCGUUAUCCGGAUUCACUGGGUUUAAAGGGAGCGUAGGUGGGUCUGUAAGUCAGUGGUGAAAUCUCCGAGCUUAACUUGGAAACUGCCAUUGAUACUAUAGAUCUUGAAUACUGUGGAGGUAAGCGGAAUAUGUCAUGUAGCGGUGAAAUGCUUAGAUAUGACAUAGAACACCGAUAGCGAAGGCAGCUUACUACGCAGUUAUUGACACUGAGGCUCGAAAGCGUGGGGAUCAAACAGGAUUAGAUACCCUGGUAGUCCACGCCCUAAACUAUGGAUACUCGACAUCAGCGAUACACAGUUGGUGUCUGAGCGAAAGCAUUAAGUAUCCCACCUGGGAAGUACGUCCGCAAGGAUG
RNAcentral lists this ribosomal RNA (370 nucleotides) under uncultured prokaryote. RNAcentral's name for it is "bacterial SSU rRNA". It matches the Rfam family "Bacterial small subunit ribosomal RNA", at positions 524 to 896 of the family's 1533-position model. The record is from RNAcentral.